This is a long non-coding RNA of Papaver somniferum (opium poppy), 819 nucleotides long. RefSeq lists it as uncharacterized. The transcript has 2 exons. The record is from RefSeq and is a predicted model, not a curated record. NCBI's taxonomy places the organism in Eukaryota, Viridiplantae, Streptophyta, Magnoliopsida, Ranunculales, Papaveraceae.
UCUACUUUGAAGAAAGAACUCUGAAGAACUGAAAAACAUAGAAGGUCUAAGUAGAAUUUAUUGAUUUAUGUUUAGCUAUUUUAGGGGUUUUGAUCUAUUUUUAGUUUAGGGUUUCAGAAUUUAACUGAUUUUAUGGUUUGUUAUUGUUAUAUGAUUACAGUUUGCUCAUCAGAGUUUGAACAUAGAAGAAGUGGUCAGAAUUGAAUUUGGAAGAUUUAACAAGAAUAAUUCGGUCGCUGAUGCACCUUCACCUGCUCAAACACCUUCACCUGGGCAAACCAUAUCACCAGCUCGAUCAUCAGCAAGUGUUGAAAUGCAUCCAUGUUCAUUGUUGAACAUGGAUGAGGAAGUUUUGGGUGUUGGUAGUCUGUGUACUGGUGCUAUGGGACGUAUGUAUCACGGCUCUAUUGUACCAGCUAAUCUUGGAAAGGUGUUGGUGGAUAAGAUUCUCAUGCCAGAUGCACCAGUCGUAAAAGCUAACAAGUUUGUUGACAUCUUUAAAGAUGUUGUUGUUGGAGGGUACGUGAUUCAUCCAAAUAAGUGCAUCAAGAUGGACUAGUUGGGUUGGCGGUCGACCUACUUUUUUGGAGAUAUGUAAUGAAACUCUCCAUUGAUAUCUUAACCAUCAAUUAACGCUCGAUAACUGACAAACAUAUAUGGCUGUUAUCUUUUUUGCUUAUAUAUGUUCACACUUCUGUACAUGUGCUUAACAUGCUAAAAUGUAGAUGCAGUUGCACUACAGUUGUAUCUUAGGAAAAACUUUGAAUCCUAAUGUAUCUAUGUGAACCGGCAGUACUAAUAUAAUCAGUUUUUCUUUUA